AGCAUUGUGGUUUAAUUCGAUGAUACGCGAGGAACCUUACCUGGGCUUAAAUGCUUAAUGACGUACUGGGAAACUGGUAUUUCUUCGGACAUUUUGCAAGGUGCUGCAUGGUUGUCGUCAGCUCGUGCCGUGAGGUGUCGGGUUAAGUCCCAUAACGAGCGCAACCCCUAUUGUUAGUUGCCAUCAGGUCAUGCUGGGGACUCUAACAAAACUGCCCGCGUAAGCGUGGAGGAAGGUGGGGAUGACGUCAAAUCAGCACGGCCCUUACGUCCAGGGCUACACACGUGCUACAAUGGCCGGUACAGAGGGCAGCCACUUGGUGACAAGGAGCAAAUCUCAAAAGCCGGUCUCAGUUCGGAUCGGAGUCUGCAACUCGACUCCGUGAAGUUGGAUUCGCUAGUAAUCGUAGAUCAGCAAUGCUACGGUGAAUACGUUCCCGGGCCUU
RNAcentral lists this ribosomal RNA (445 nucleotides) under uncultured Bacteroidota bacterium. RNAcentral's name for it is "bacterial SSU rRNA". It matches the Rfam family "Bacterial small subunit ribosomal RNA", at positions 936 to 1382 of the family's 1533-position model. Lineage: Bacteria; Pseudomonadati; Bacteroidota. The record is from RNAcentral.